GACGAACGCUGGCGGCGUGCCUAAUACAUGCAAGUUGAGCGCUGAAGGUUGGUACUUGUACCAACUGGAUGAGCAGCGAACGGGUGAGUAACGCGUGGGGAAUCUGCCUUUGAGCGGGGGACAACAUUUGGAAACGAAUGCUAAUACCGCAUAAAAACUUUAAACACAAGUUUUAAGUUUGAAAGAUGCAAUUGCAUCACUCAAAGAUGAUCCCGCGUUGUAUUAGCUAGUUGGUGAGGUAAAGGCUCACCAAGGCGAUGAUACAUAGCCGACCUGAGAGGGUGAUCGGCCACAUUGGGACUGAGACACGGCCCAAACUCCUACGGGAGGCAGCAGUAGGGAAUCUUCGGCAAUGGACGAAAGUCUGACCGAGCAACGCCGCGGGAGGGAAGAAGGUUUUCGGAUCGGAAAACUCUGUUGGUAGAGAAGAACGUUAGUGAGAGUGGAAAGCUCAUCAAGUGACGGUAACUACCCAGAAAGGGACGGCUAACUACGUG
This 497-nucleotide ribosomal RNA is filed under the name uncultured bacterium. Its description in RNAcentral is "partial 16S ribosomal RNA". It matches the Rfam family "Bacterial small subunit ribosomal RNA", at positions 28 to 507 of the family's 1533-position model. The record is from RNAcentral.